GACGAACGCUGGCGGCGUGCCUAAUACAUGCAAGUAGAACGCAGUUGCGAACGGGUGAGUAACGCGUAGGUAACUGCCUCAUAGCGGGGGAUAACUAUUGGAAACGAUAGCUAAUACCGCAUACUGUGAGAUGGACCUGCGUUGCAUUAGCUAGGUGGUGAGGUAAAGUGGCACCAAGGCGACGAUACAUAGCCGACCUGUGAGGGUGAUCGGGCACACUGUGACUGAGACGCGGCCCAGACUCCCACGGGAGGCAGCAGUAGGGAAUCUUCUGCAAUGGACGGAAGUCUGACCGAGCAACGGCGCGUGAGUGAAGAAGGUUUUGGGAUCGUAAGGCUCUGUUGUUAGAGAAGCGGUAACGAACCAGAAAGGGACGGCUAACUACGUGCCAGAGCCGCGGUAAUUC
Molecule: ribosomal RNA, 406 nt
Filed under: uncultured bacterium
Lineage: Bacteria
Description: partial 16S ribosomal RNA
Rfam family: Bacterial small subunit ribosomal RNA
Source: RNAcentral